GAUGAACGCUGGCGGCGUGCCUAAUACAUGCAAGUCGAGCGAACGGACGAGAAGCUUGCUUUUCUGAUGUUAGCGGCGGACGGGUGAGUAACACGUGGAUAACCUACCUAUAAGACUGGGAUAACUUCGGGAAACCGGAGCUAAUACCGGAUAAUAUUUUGAACCGCAUGGUUCAAAAGUGAAAGACGGUCUUGCUGUCACUUAUAGAUGGAUCCGCGCUGCAUUAGCUAGUUGGUAAGGUAACGGCUUACCAAGGCAACGAUGCAUAGCCGACCUGAGAGGGUGAUCGGCCACACUGGAACUGAGACACGGUCCAGACUCCUACGGGAGGCAGCAGUAGGAAAUCUUCCGCAAUGGGCGAAAGCCUGACGGAGCAACGCCGCGUGAGUGAUGAAGGUCUUCGGAUCGUAAAACGAUGUUAUUAGGGAAGAACAUAUGUGUAAGUAACUGUGCACAUCUUGACGGUACCUAAUCAGAAAGCCACGGCUAACUACGUG
RNAcentral lists this ribosomal RNA (497 nucleotides) under uncultured bacterium. RNAcentral describes it as "partial 16S ribosomal RNA". It matches the Rfam family "Bacterial small subunit ribosomal RNA", at positions 28 to 507 of the family's 1533-position model. The record is from RNAcentral.